Molecule: ribosomal RNA, 420 nt
Filed under: uncultured Chloroflexota bacterium
Lineage: Bacteria; Bacillati; Chloroflexota
Description: bacterial SSU rRNA
Rfam family: Bacterial small subunit ribosomal RNA
Source: RNAcentral
CCCAGCAACGCCGCGUGAGGGAUGAAGGCCUUCGGGUUGUAAACCUCUUUUCCUGGGGAAGAAUUUUGACGGUACCCAGGGAAUAAGCCUCGGCCAACUACGUGCCAGCAGCCGCGGUAAUACGUAGGAGGCGAACGUUAUUCGGAUUUACUGGGCGUAAAGGGAGCGUAGGCGGUUCCUCAAGUCGGAUGUGAAAUCUUCUGACUCAAUCCGGAGGCGCCAUUUGAUACUGAGGGACUUGAGAGCAGCAGAGGGAAAUGGAAUCUCCAGUGUAGCGGUGAAAUGCGUAGAUAUUGGAGAGAACACCAGUGGCGAAGGCGAUUUUCCAGGCUGCUUCUGACGCUGAGGCUCGAAAGCGUGGGGAGCGAACCGACUAAAUACCCGGUAGUCCACGCCCUAAACGGUGGACACUAGAUAUAG